GAUGAACGCUGGCGGCGUGCCUAAUACAUGCAAGUCGAGCGAAUGGAUUAAGAGCUUGCUCUUAUGAAGUUAGCGGCGGACGGGUGAGUAACACGUGGGUAACCUGCCCAUAAGACUGGGAUAACUCCGGGAAACCGGGGCUAAUACCGGAUAACAUUUUGAACCGCAUGGUUCGAAAUUGACAGGCGGCUUCGGCUGCCACUUAUGGAUGGACCCGCGUCGCAUUAGCUAGUUGGUGAGGUAACGGCUCACCAAGGCAACGAUGCGUAGCCGACCUGAGAGGGUGAUCGGCCACACUGGACUGAGACACGGCCCAGACUCCUACGGGAGGCAGCAGUAGGGAAUCUUCCGCAAUGGACGAAAGUCUGACGGAGCAACGCCGCGUGAGUGAUGAAGGCUUUCGGGUCGUAAAACUCUGUUGUUAGGGAAGAACAAGUGCUAGUUGAAUAAGCUGGCACCUUGACGGUACCUAACCAGAAAGCCACGGCUAACUACGUGCCAGCAGCCGCCUAA
Molecule: ribosomal RNA, 513 nt
Filed under: uncultured bacterium
Lineage: Bacteria
Description: partial 16S ribosomal RNA
Rfam family: Bacterial small subunit ribosomal RNA
Source: RNAcentral